This 639-nucleotide ribosomal RNA is filed under the name Arianta chamaeleon. Its description in RNAcentral is "partial 12S small subunit ribosomal RNA". Lineage: Eukaryota; Metazoa; Mollusca; Gastropoda; Stylommatophora; Helicidae. The record is from RNAcentral.
CCAAAAAUGGUAAUCCCUUUAAAGAAACAUCUAUUGUGGUGCUCUUUUCGUGCGAUGCACUUUAUCAUGGACUUUUUCGAGCGCCCAGUUAAAAAUUUUUGUAAGUCAAGAAAUUGAGCACAUGACAACAUCUUGUUUAUGACUAAUAAAGUGCCAGCAGUCGCGGUCAUACUUUUAUAGACACGAAAAUAUUCAGAACACUUUAUCUUUCUAAGGUUAUUUUUAGUAAAAUAUUAAUAACCCUAAUUCUUCACUACUACUAUAUUUUUAAUAACUGACAACAAACAGGGAUUAGAUACCCCUUUAUGCAGUAAAUACACUUAUUCUGAGGAUUAGAAUAGCAAAUUCAAACUCAAACCACAUGGCGGUAGUUUAUAUUUAGGGGAACUUACUAGAUAAUUGAUAGCCACCAAGAUAAUCCACGUUAAGUAAAAUUUUGUAUACCGUCGUCGUGGAUAUACUAUAAUAGGAUAUCAGCAAAUACACUAAUUUCAAGACAGAUCAAGGUACAGACUAUCUUAACGCCUCAGCGAGUUACAAUAGGAAUUAUACUUCACAAGGUAUAUUUAAUAUCCCAACGUGUCGGACUUAAAAGUAAUUUAUAAUAAACUUAAUUUGUGAAUGUACUCUAAACUGUGC